Molecule: ribosomal RNA, 254 nt
Filed under: uncultured bacterium
Lineage: Bacteria
Description: partial 16S ribosomal RNA
Rfam family: Bacterial small subunit ribosomal RNA
Source: RNAcentral
UACGUAGGGAGCAAGCGUUGUCCGGAAUCAUUGGGCGUAAAGCGCGCGUAGGCGGCCCCAUAAGUCCGCUGUGAAAGUCAAAGGCUCAACCUUUGAAAGCCGGUGGAUACUGGUGGGGCUAGAGUACGGAAGAGGCGAGUGGAAUUCCUGGUGUAGCGGUGGAAUGCGCAGAUAUCAGGAGGAACACCGAUGGCGAAGGCAGGUCUCUGGGCCAUUACUGACACUGAGAAGCGAAAGCAUGGGGAGCGAACAGG